GGGCAUUAAUAUGCCUUAAGGGAGCAGAAAUGUUUGUAUCUUAUUUUACUACUUCAGUAUUGAAUACUUGUUAUCUAGGCUGUCCUGCAUCUAGCCUGCCUUGGCUGAUUGCAAACAAGAUUGGAACCACUCCGGGAUGGUCCUGGCAAUGAAGCCGUUUCGAGUGAAGAGGGGUUCUCUUCCAAUUUCUUGCCUGUUGUGACCUGCAUUCCUAUUCCGUCUCCUGUGGUGCGGCUUUUGGUAAGUUGGACUGUUUUUUUUUCCCUUUUGCACGAAGACAGAUGCAGAGAAUGAAUUAGAAACAGUUCCGCUUCCCUGAUGCUGGUUACUUCCUUGCCAUCUUCUCCCAUUAGUGGACUGAUUGUUUCCUUGACUUCUUUCUUUACACUUUUUUUUAAAACGGCUUUAAUGCAAAACGUUUGGACGUCUGAUUCAGCUCAGCAAUCCAAUCAGCAAACCAUGUUUUAUUUCUGUUGUGCUUGGCGCACACAGCUCCUCGCCCCACUGCUUAUUCAGGCUGCUCCAAAACUCAAAAUUAUUUGCUUUUAACUUGCUGGCUUCGCCACUGACAUUUCCAGGAAUGGAGCCAGGUUUUGCUCAACUGCAGGUCCUGUUAGAAGUCUCUUUACCCUAAUCAAAGGCAUUGAACCUCGAUAUCUGUGUAUUACCUUUGCUUUUCAUUCCAGUCUAUUUUAUUCUAUUUCCAUAGCUGUUGGACUCCUAUCACCGUUCUUCUGUAAACAUCGUCUUCCUGUGCCUCUAGCCAUAAAUCCUUAAAGUUAAAGAUUAAUAAUAGGGAUACAAAAAAGAAAAGGAGCCAGCAGGAAGGAAAAGUUUUGAUAGUUUGCAAAAGUUCCAAGAUAGAUGUAGCUGUUCUCUGGGCUGCUAGUUACACCCCUAGCCAACUACUGAUAACAAACUCAAGAUAUUUAUUGCAGUUGUAAAUCUUUCACCAAAGUAACACAAAGCACAUUGCAAACACAAAGCUUUCUGUGUGGAAAACAAGCGGAAUUGCUUAUCAAAAGAGUUCCAGUGACAAACUGCAAUUUCAGGACGAUCCAAAGAUGGUCCGUUUCUUGUCCAAGAAUCCAGGCAAUCCGACAGAGUCUCAGGUAGGAAAUCUGAUCAUUUUUUGUCCAUCUCUGAUGCCCUGGAUAUGAGCUUCACCAAUCAGUCGAACGUGUUUCUUUCUUUCAAGGAGAUGACGUAACUUCCUUUGCUCACUUCUUCCUAGUUUGUGACAUGUUGCCGGGCCUGGGAUCUUGCGUCCUUAGAUCACCUGACCCAAAGCUGGUACCUGUGUGGCCUGAGGGGCAGGUGCUUCCCUCAGCACCUGGGGCCUUCCUGGGGCCUUCUUGGGAGAGCAGGGAAUGGCAGGGGAGGCUGAAGGCGAGACUUUAUGAAAAUGAGCCUCCUGGCUGUGGAGAACCUGCAGGAACAGAGCCAGCGAUUGUGGCGGUUGGCCAGACCAGGAGACAGAAUAGAAUAGCAGAGUUGGAAGGGACCUUGUAGGUCAUCUAGCCCACCCCCCACCCGUGCUCAAAUGUUAGGAGUUUACCUGUUUCAUGCCACAUUUGUGAUGAAAACAAAAAUAAUACAGGUCUGGCUGCUUGUUUUUAAUCCAAAAAGAAAAACAAAUAUUCCUUUACUACUGAGGGCACAUCUUAUAAACAGUUGUUUUCCAGGGUGUAUCUGCUGUCUCUAUCCCACUAUUUACAAGAUAACAUUGGACAAGUCCAGAAGGAAAAAAUAAAAAUAAACUUUCAGCCGGGAGGAUAAGUUAAUGGAAAGUCCUUCACUACAUUUUCAUCAUUUGCUAUUAUAACCUUUUGCAUUUUAUGUAGCUUAUGAAGUAGCUGAUAAAUACAUGGAGCUUUUAAAAAGCAUGUUGUGCAGUAUAUCGUGCACUGAAUUAUUACUAAUGGUAGAAACAGUAACAGUAGUGCAGAUGCUGCCAAGACUUAAGUCUUCCUUGGCUGAUUUCUUGGAGAGGUCAGGUCAUUCCCACGUUCAACCAAAUCCGUUCCUGAAAUCCAGUUAUGGCCAGGUUCUUCCUGGAGGCAGAGUUAAAAGAAACCAGAUGGCUGCGAUUUUUCAAAUGAAAAAACAUGUGUUUUGUAAUCACAGUCACUAUCUUGACUUUUUUGACGCCUGCCUGGACCUUUGCCUCUUCCCUGCUGCAUCCUCCUGUUAGCCUGUAUGGCAGCCUCGGACUUUGGAGACUGGGCAAGCCUCCCCGAGAGAGGGCUUUCUCUUUUUCAAGGGCUAAGGCUGGUGACUCCCAGCCUUUCCCCCUCCUUUUAUGUAUCUGUCCAUUUAACCUCAGAGGGGAUGGAGAUACAUCAGCACUUUGUCCUAUAGGGAAAUCCAAAGCGCAUUGCUUGACUUGGAGACAGAUGCCAAGGGCCUGAACACGUUUCUACUCCACUCCAUAAAAUCCAGUGAAAAUGGCGCAAGGCCUCUCUUAUAAAACCAGGAAUGAAACUCUAAAGAAUCCAAGAAGCGGAUUCAAACCCUCCCCUUAAGAGCUUUCCUUCCACUCCUUCCAACUGACAGGGUAUUCUCACUGCGGGAAGGGACAACUCGCCAUGGCCAAAGGGACAAAUCACUGCAGAACAAUUCAACAAUUCAAUUUAAUUAUUUAAAAUAAUUUUAAAAAUAUUUUAAUUUUUGUCAUUCACAUUUUAUUUUGUCCCUCCUUUGGCACUCUUUUUUUAAUGAUUCUAUUCCACUAUUUCUUCGAUUAUUAGUGUAACUUUUGUCCUGUGGCGAGUUGUCCCAGACCCCCCCACUCACUGUGUUGUUUAGCCGUCUAUAAAUCAGUUCCAAAAUUUUUGCUCCAUGGAAAAAGAGCCCCCUGAAUAAGGACUGAUCAGGUGUAUGUUGGAAGUACAUUAACCAUUUAAGAUGUAGGUGCCUGCAAAUUAAUACACGACAGCAGCUUCUUAAAGAAGCACGAAGUUGGCUUUGUGACGGACGGGACAAAGGCCAGCAGGUCGUCCCUGAUGUACAUCUACAGUUGGGACCGGAAUUUCCAUCGUAACUUGGUGCAAUUAUAAGAAGACCUGCAUAUUGCACAGACCAGAAGCAGGGCUGAGAAAAUAACUACAAACCCCUCACAUCCUGGACGUAAAAUGUUUCAACUCCUCCCCUUGCGGAGCAGCUAUUGGAUGCCAAAACAACUAGACACAGAGACAGUUAUUUCCCUCAUGCCCUCACUCUCCUGAACAUCUAAUCCUCACAGCACUGUUUUAUUUCUAGAAACUGCUUCACUGCUCAUCGCUUAGGGUUAAGAAUUCCACUCCCGGGCAGGCAGAGAGAGACAGAGAGAAAGAAUGCUACAGCCACCAUGAAAAAGGACCAAGGACAAUGUAACCCCUUCACAUGGGUGACCUAAGAAGGAAAGUGCCGAUUGAGGAGACACUGUUCAGGGCUGGAACUGGGCAGGAGGGAGAAUGUGGCUGGGAUCGCCCCUUUCCUUCCAGCUGCUUGGAAACAUCUGCUGGGCUUUUGUGGAAAGAGAUGCUGGGCUGCAGGGCGCAAUUCUUCCAUCUGGAUUCGUGGUGAUGUCCAUUCACGCGUGCGUUUCAUCGUGUGCACUCGGUCCAUUGCAUUAGGGCUCCUCUAGAGAAUGAGCGUAGCUGCAACUAGGCGGAGAAACUAUUGUCUGAAGCAGGAGAUGAAAUGGCUCAUAUCUAUCUUCCUUCAUGCGAUGCUGACUAAAUCAUUGCUCCAGGUAUCCAAUUAAGUAUAUGCCAACUUGGCUUUUAUCUAAUAGGGAGCAUCUAUAUGUGAACCAUUUCUUGAUGAGGUAAUAUGGAAAACCUGCGUUACUUUGCAUUUUAUUCAGCAGAAAGGACAAAUAUUUAAAUCUCACCUUGCGUGACGUCUCUGAUCCAGUUGUAGCAAGCUUUAAAUAUUCCCAGGGGAUUGCUUACCUGCGAAUAACCACAUCUUCCUAUUCUUCUGCCCUACAGCUAAAGUCUCAGCAUUCAGGGCUGGUCCUAGCCUAAAUCAAAGUGGAGCAGUCAGUUUACAUUUGCAUUUGAAGUUAUUUUUAGAGCUAUGCAAAAUAUUCAAAAGAGCAUAUUGUGAACUGUUGAGACUUUAUAAAUAAGGCUCAGCAGGGCUGGUGCUUGGCUGUUCCAGGGUCAGUCCGCGUGCAGCCCCUGGCAACCGCAGCAGCACUGUGGGCUCUCCAGAGACAACCUGGAAGAAGCCCUUGCACUGCUGGUAGAAAGGGAAGGAACACAAUGAAAGAUGGGUAAUGUCAACAACUACAUCAGCCCUGUAAACUGAAUGAGUAGAUGCCAAAUGAUGAAACUGACAAAUGGAGGAAAGUAAUCACAUCGCAUUGCACUUGUGUUGAAAGGGCUGGCCAGUGACCGUUGCCUGGGGGGGGGACACCAGUUAGGGGCUUCUUUCAUGUCCCCUACAGGACCUGGAGCAUUGGAGGAGAGCUUACCCUGCCCACGGCAGGGUUCAGGUCUCAGACGCGAGCUUGCUGCUUGUCAACCCAGUGUCCUAACCAUGGAGCAGGCUCACAUGCUCUUGUGAGAAAGCAAUAGACUCUUAGGCUCCCAGGGUGCCACCACCCAACACUGGGUGAGCCUCUUCCUUAUCGGUGUGUAUUGCAACCAGAUUAUAGGGCAUGUUACCUCACUAAAUCAGUGGCAUUUUCAAAGGGAUGGAGAGAGGAUCGGUCUUCCUGUACUUAAAGAAACCUCAGUCCAACCCAAUGUAUUUGUAGUCCUCAGCUCUCUCAGAUUCUGAAGCAUACUCUACAUAUUUUGAUCUUGAAUAAUCCCACAGAGGAGGGAAGCAGAUCCCGACGUGAUUGGGUAACUAAGCAAUUUCUGUAAAUUUAGUUGACUGAAAUAAUAUGUCCUGAGUAAAAAAAAAUAGAUUUUUAUACAUAAAAACA
Long non-coding RNA from Crotalus tigris (Tiger rattlesnake), 4924 nucleotides. RefSeq lists it as uncharacterized. The record is from RefSeq and is a predicted model, not a curated record. The transcript is spliced from 5 exons. NCBI's taxonomy places the organism in Eukaryota, Metazoa, Chordata, Lepidosauria, Squamata, Viperidae.